RNAcentral lists this long non-coding RNA (2052 nucleotides) under Cricetulus griseus (Chinese hamster). RNAcentral's name for it is "lncRNA (ENSCGRG00000025486.1)". Lineage: Eukaryota; Metazoa; Chordata; Mammalia; Rodentia; Cricetidae. The record is from RNAcentral.
GGCGCUAGGCUGGGUGUUGGGGCUUUGCUCGGGCCGCCGCAGGGGUCUCGGGCGGGCUUGGGGUUCGAACUGGCGCGAGUCCCGGUUAAACUCCGUGUUCUGGCUGCGUGGCUCAGGAAGCGGGCUCUCUUUGCUAAUUCAAGCACAGCCCUUUCAUCUGGAGCAAAUGCGUAGUGAGUGCACACGGGGCGUCACCACAGAAUCUUGGGGGGGGGUCCCCCGGAAAGCAAGACGGACGCGACUCCCGCCUCGCUAACCUUGCUAGUGAAGGAGAAAGGCAGUGUGCAUUGAAAAGCGCCAACGCUUUUCUACCCCAAGGACGAGAAGUGUAAGAAGGAAACGCCCCGACAUAUCCAUGAAUGAAACUCCCCGUUUUAUGGCAGUGCACGGCAUCCCUAGACAACACUUACUGCACAUUACCAAUAACACUGGCUAUGAACCUGUGAAGUCACAAAAUUCACGGGGUUAACACCUAGGAGGACGCUUUAUCCUUCCGGAGACAGAACGUUCUCGUGAAUGGUGCAAUCCGAUCGCCGAGGAACCCGAGUUUUUUUUUUUUUUUUUCUGCACCCGAGGCUCGGUUGCUGGGAAACAAGCAAGCACUUAGAGCCGGCUGAGCGAGGCAGAAGGCGUUCAGUCCCAAGAAUGACUUUGACCUUCUUAAGAUGGCGUUUCGACCUUAACCACAGACACCACGCUCACACGACUUCCGCUGUGGCCGCCACUUCCGGUUCAAAGACCCAACAGCUGUCCAAAGUUGUAACGGAAUUCACGUUAUGCUCAUGAGCCUUUUUCCCCCGACAUUGCCUCCUUUAGAAAUAUAAAGAUAUAUCCGCGGUGGUUAUUUUACGGGUUUCCCGCCUCUCCAGGCCCUCCGUGCCGCUUCUAGUGCUGACGAAGCGGCGUUCUGAUUAGGCGGACGCCGCGGACAGCCCGACGUUCGCCGGGCUUCGGCGGGCGAGGGAAGACCCGAGACUCGCAAGCUGCGCAAGAUGGCGACUGCGGCUGCAGCCUCUGCGUCCGAGCCGGAGGUUGAGCCCCAGGCGGGGCCUGAGGCCGAGGGAGGGGAGGAUGAGGCGAAGGCAGCCAGUGCGGACAGGAAUGUGCAGUCCCGCGCUGUGGCCUCCGACGCGGCCAAGACCAAAGGGCCAGGGUGGGACCUGCAGCGGGAAGGCGUGAGCGAGAGUGACGGGGAUGAGGAGGACGCCAUGGCUUCCUCCGCUGAGAGCUCCCCCGGGGAGGACGAGUGGGAGUACGACGAGGAGGAGGAGAAAAACCAGCUGGAAAUCGAGCGGCUGGAGGAGCAGCUGUCCAUCAACGGCUAUGACUACAACUGCCAUGUGGAGCUGAUCAGGCUGCUGCGGCUGGAAGGGGAGCUCAACAAAGUGAGGAUGGCCCGACAGAAGAUGAGCGAGCUCUUCCCCUUGACUGAAGGUAACGCUGCCCCGGGGGUGGGGGUGAGGGGCUGCUUUUGGUUCAGAGAGCUGAGGUGAAGGAGAUAAAGGAAGCCAGCUGCUUCUCAUUUCAUUGCCUUAGACAGUGUUCUGUGCUGCAGAUUCACAUGUGGAACAUUAUGAGAAACAGUUUCUUUAACGUAAUUUAACUUCACUGUGGUCACUGUCCCAUUCCACAGAUGUGUACUUAGCCUAUGCUCAUAGUGCUAUGGAAUUGUAAAUUUAGGUAAACAUUUAUAGUUUUAAAAUCUCUUUUUAAAAAUCUUUAUGUGUAUGGGUGUUUUUGCCUGCAUAUAUGUGUAUGUGCACCAGGUGGCCAGAAGAGGGAGCCAGAUGCCCUGGAACUGGAGUUCUAGACAGUUGUGAGCCACUGUGUGGGUGCUGGGAAUCAAACCUGGGUCCUGUGGAAGAGCAUCCAGUGCUCUUAACCACUGAGCCAUCUUUACAGACUCUAAACUGAAAUAGUUUUAAAUGCAGUUGUUUCAUUUUGGUACAGUAAUUGUACAUUUUGUUUACUUCCACGCAUUUGCUUCUGAGAAAUAUACUUGUAGGAAUUGGCUCUGUGACUGGGUCUUUUUUUUUUGUUUUUUUUGAGACA